CUUGCGCCGUUCUAGGAAGCAAGACUUUCAUUUCUGCUUUUCUCAGAAAACACGUGAGCCGCAGCCCCGGUCGGGGGGGGUGUGGGGGGGGAAUCUCCCUCCGCGCCCCACCCUGGCACUCGCUCCCGACCCCUUUCCGGGUCCCGGCGGCUUGGUGCCGGCCCCGCUUUCCCGGGCUCCCGAGUGGAGGGGAGGGCGAGCCAGCCCGAUUGCAGCGCGGAUGCCGCUCGCCGUCGCCCCGGGGAGCCGCCCGCAGCUGGCCCAGGCUGGGUGCACGGCGUGGGCCGGCCGCUGGGUGCUCGGGUAUGUCGUCGCCGGCUAUUACAUCUCCUCCGCGGCUACAAACCCCUCGAGACGUCUGGUGAGCGGGAGAGGGGUGGUGGCGGUCUUCUCCUGCCCCAGUUCCCCCCGGGGCAGCGGCUGUUCCCCCUCCCCAAAGGGCCCCUCUCUGGGGACCCUUGGAGGUGGGAAGAGGUUAGAACUGUGUGGUGGGGCCGGAGUGUGGACCGAGUCCGGCUCAGUCUCGCCGAGCUGCUGAUGCCGGCACGGCUAACCCUGCCUCGGCCCCUCCAGGUGUCCUGCAGCGCCGUCUCCAGCUGCCUCGGCUUCCUCGCCUCGCUGGUGGGAGCUGUGCUCCUGGCCCUGGACCUGCUGCGGGUUUCCUUCCGCCACCCGCUCCGGGGCGUCUUCGCCGUGUCCCYGCUCUGCGAGAGGAGCAGCGUCCUGGCUGAGCACUGCCGCAGGCUCCUGAUCUACGAGCUGGUGAGCUGGCGGGGGCUGGCGGGACGGGCAGGGGGGCCGGCGUGCGGGCGCAGACGGUGCUGAGGCCAAGCUGGUGGUGCAGUGCCCUGUYGUCUCCGCUGAGAGUGGGGCUGGUGGCAUCUGGGCUCCCAAGGGGGGGUUGUUUAACCCCAUGCGCCAGGACAGGUUGGGGUUGACCUGCUGGAAAGCAGCUCUGCGGAGAAGGACCUGGGAGUGCUGGUGGACACCAAGUGAAGCAUGAGG
RNAcentral lists this long non-coding RNA (1005 nucleotides) under Apteryx haastii (Great spotted kiwi). RNAcentral describes it as "lncRNA (ENSAHAG00000005478.1)". Lineage: Eukaryota; Metazoa; Chordata; Aves; Apterygiformes; Apterygidae. The record is from RNAcentral.